Molecule: long non-coding RNA, 7044 nt
Organism: Oreochromis niloticus (Nile tilapia)
Lineage: Eukaryota; Metazoa; Chordata; Actinopteri; Cichliformes; Cichlidae
Exons: 3
Source: RefSeq, a predicted model, not a curated record
CCUCUCAGUGUCGGCACAAAGUUGCUGGGAGGACCGCGUCUGAAACAAAACUCAGCAUGUGGCAGCGCGAGUGUCGCAACAUCCGCGAGCGGGACCUCAGCGGACGGUCUGUGAUCUGAAACCCAAAAACAAAGAGUGAGCGGCCUGCUAGAGAAAUCAAGUCUUCAUCAUGAGAGACAAAUACAUGAACUUAAGGCCUCCGUGGGAGUGGAAUCAUUUCAGAGUGUAAUCAGUUCCAAGCUGCUUUGUCUUUUACUUAUUUUUUCUUUGCUCUGUCGACGUUAUACAAAACGUUUCUUUAAAAUUGAGUCAAACUGCAGCUUUUUUAUGAUACCAAUGCAUAAACUGGCACCCUAGAAAAGUACAGGAAGAGAGAAAAAGGCACGAGUCUCGUGUUUGCAAAGGGACGAGCUUUGAAACAGAACAGAAUGGGUUCAAGCUUCACCUGACCAAAAAUCAAAACUCCAAAAAACAAACAAACAAACAAAAGAAAUAAAUAAAUCAAAAGUCACGCCACUCUGAUAUGACACUGUCUCAUUCAUUCGGCUCACGUCACGCUCCUCUUGACUUCUUACUUGACCUUGAAAUAUUGGAUUUCGAGCAAUGUGUUUAAUAAUCUCACUUGAACUUCUGGCCUGUAGGGCCAGAGGAAAUCAUUGUUAUUUCUUUCUUUCUUUUUAAUCCAUCCUUUCAGAGGUGUUGGAUGCUGGGCCGCGUGGGAGCUUUUUAAAAAAUGAGAACAAAACAUUUUCGAAAUGUAAACCAAACUCUGGGUUAUUUACAAAAAGGCUAAAGGCAAAAAUGUGCACCUGAUUGCUUUGCUUUUGUAGCUACAAACACGCCAUUGAUGGUUAGCUGAGAUGGCACUAUUUAGUGCAGCAAAGCUCGGAUAUAAACGAGGCCACGGCACAAAAACCUGUAGAUGUGGAUUUUUGCACGCAUGCUUUGUGGUAAAAAGCUCACCUCUCGUUUAAAAAGUAAGAAAUCCCUGUCUGUAUCUAUACAUUGCCAUAUAUUGUCUCCACAUCUGACCCGAAUGCCCCCCUCACCCUUCUGCACCGGUCCAAACCGGCAGCUUGCGCUAAUUUGCAGGGGGAAAAAAGCUCUUUCUUUGGUCUCUCUCCUCUCCCGGUCCUAUAUACCGUCUCUCCCAGGAGGUUUACACAAACUGUGAGACAAAAGUUCCACUAGGCAACGGCCUGUCGAGGAAUGCUGACCUUGGCACGGCCAGUGGAAUCGGCUCGGCCGUUCUUUCGUUUCUUAUGGUUUGAAUUAAGGCGCAUUUGACCUGCGCCAACUUCCAAGAGUUGCCACGGAGGCGCACGGGAGCCGUGCUAUAGGUUACUGCUGUUGCUGUCUGCACUGAAUGAAAUGAUAAAAAAAGAGAGGGAGAGAAAGGGGGCUGCAGUCCAGCGAUGAAACGUGAGAGGACAGAAAAUAGUGACCAACUAACAAUCGCUUUAGCAGGAAUUUAGGAGCAGGCCGUUAAAAAACAAACAGAAAGAUGUUAGAACGGACAAACAACAGCGAUGAAAUCAAGUUAAAGAUAUACAGUAAAGCAAACUGAUGAGCAGGAAUGGAAGAAUUUUCAUCUUUUACGUGAGUGAAAGUGGCGUCAUCACAACACAGAAACAAAAGAAAAAUUCUGAAGGCACAGCUGGAAACAUAAUGACCCCAUUCACACUGUUAGGCCUACUACAUUAUUAAUAUCAGUGCAUUAAAGUGCAUUUUAGAGACAUUUUACUGAUGAGUAACGUAGUCUGGAGCACUUAUUAUCAAUAUCUCCAACAAGGUGGUCAAAAAACUCAGACCAAACCGAAAACACAAAUGACAACCAAACGUGGACAAUUAAAAUGUACAACCCCUUUAAAUGUUUCAAAUGUAAAAUAAAAGCACCACAACACCACGUUUGAUUAUUCCACAGCUCUUAAAUGUUCUCUGACAGCAAAAGGAGAGCGUGACAGCUUUGCACCGAGGAACAUCCUAAGUUAGAUCAGGUACACUCCCUGUUGGGCAUCACAAAACAUUACAGUCCUGCUUUUCACAGGGAGUGACACAUGCCUAAACGCUUGAAGUAAAGAGCUUAUAGUGGGGAAAAAAAGAGAGAGAGAGUGUCACCUGCGCAUUUAAGCAGAGAAAAUGAACAAAUACUCCAGAGAUAGACAGAAAAACACUGAUUGAAAUAAAUCAUGUUGCACUGUUUUAAAAGAAUUUUAUUCAGUUUUUCGUAUGUUUUUGGUGUCAAAGUAUUUCUAUAUGUACUGAUUUACCGCUGAUUAAUCUGUAAAUCCCCGAGGACCUUUGAUAUACAGGUUAAGGAUUAAUUAGCUGAGUUUAGAAAUUUGCCUAAUUACCACAAGACCCUUGAGGAAGUGUGUUAUUGCCCUUUGUACAUAAAAGCAGGAAAGCAGCGUUAAGCAGGAUUAGACUAAAGUCACCUUACUUUACAUAUAUAAAAGGGUUUGCUGAUUGGAGAAGAAAGCAUUUUUUUUUAAUUGUUUGGGUUAUUUAUAGUAAAUCUUACAGGUAGGAGAAACACUCACUACACUCUAAAGGGACACCACAUUUAUGGAGACGCCUGUGCUCUGAACCUGCAUCAGUCUGAUCAGUUUUUUUUUAUCAGGAUGCAGUUUUCUCCCAUGCAACCAAAUUACAAGGAUGAGGUAGUGUGAUUGCUGAGGCGCACACGUAAAAGCACACACACCGCGCAGACGUGCAGAUGUUCGUCCACCUGCAGGCUGAGCGCUGAAAUUAACAACACCUGAAGAAGGAUGACUGGUGGAGCCUCAGGCCCUGCGAACCACUGAUUGGCUCAGCUGAGGAUCUGGCUAACUGAUGCUGAGCGGCGUCUGUGUAUGCGUGUGUGUCUUUCUGUGUGUGUGUGUGUGUGUAUGUGUAUCUCUCGGGGUAUCCCACCCUCCCCUGCCUUAUCAGGCAGCUCCACGGCACCGCUAGAGGAGUGCUGCUCUCAGGAGGGCAGGGCUACCAGCACACCGCUUAUCUUCUACCAGCAAGGAGGGUUUAUAGGUCUGAUUAACUCACUGUUUGCAUGUGUUGUGUGUAUGAGAAAAGAAGAGAGAGGGAGCUGUGGUGUAUAAUUGUGUAUUGUGGACUAAUUGUGUGUGGGUGAUUGUGUGUGCGGCGGCGGCUGUGUAAGUGGAUGCCAGUGUGAGGAAGGUGUACACUCAAGAGCGGUGAAGCACUCGCACCACCGUCAUCCUAGCCGGUUCAAACCAGGAGAAUCAUCAGCCCAGGAUGUACUUUCUUUCCUUACCACUGACUGGGACACUGGAAUUUGCCUCAUAUCUCCUGCAUUUGUAAGUUUCAUUUUCACUCUGUCUUUAUUCAGGUUUAGGCACCAAAUCUUCUUAAUUUUAGAAAAAGUAGCUAUUCUGAAAAAGACUAAACUACAGUGUUUUCUUGGAUAUGAGGGUGCAGAGUUCCAUCCAUGUAAAGAAUAAGGCGUAGCUUCAAGGCUACGCCUCCGGCUGGUGCGAGAGAGAUAGUGCAGGUUUAAGCUACCUGUCAGCAGCUUAAACCUGCAUUAUCUCUCUCGCACCAGCGGGGGGAAAUUUCUCUGUUUGGGCAAAGAAACUAGAUUGUAUGUAAGUCUGCGGGAAAAUGUCCAUUGUUUUGACUUCAUCCAGUCACUCGACUUCACUAAACAUCUUCCACAAAUGAGUUUAUGGACUCAAGUAGUGAUCCUGAAUAGAGUGAAAAACAAAGUGUAUAGUUUAGGGAGGGUCCACCUUGUGAUUGACAACUUGCUACCCUAUGAACCUCAGUUUCUCCGUCACAUCCAUCCUUGAUUGUCAUGUCUGAUUACUAUCUUGGUGUUACACCAAAAUUCUCACCUCGAGGUGUGUCCGUCAUUUAUAAUGGAAUCUCUAUAUAUAUGAACAUUUAUUUUGGGUCCCAUUUAACACAGGUUGUGUCAAAAGAAUCAUCUGAUUUCAAUAUUCUAGAUUUUUUAAAGUAACUGACAUGUUCACAGGAGUUCAAUAUGUCCCCCUGGAUGCACGGCACAUGUCCAUAUGAUAGUCAAACUCGUGCUAUACACAGCAGAGGUCACGUAACUUUACAGAAAGGUAUCUCAGUGCUCUGCUAUAUAAGCAGAAGAGCUUUACAGAGCUGCUAACACGGCUGUAGACUUUUAUUAUCAUUCAGUAAUAAGUUCUUUGUUCAAAUGGUUUCAUAAAUAUUAUGAAAAUUAUGCAAAGACUACAAAAUGUCUCUGUCUUGUCUCCUAAAUUUACAAUGCAGACUCUGUGCUCUCUGUUUCAUAACUCAGGGUGGGGCAGGGAUGGGGGUCAUUUAAUGGUUCCUUGGCAUUAAAUCAGGUACCUUCUUUUUCGCUGUCUGAAAUUCCCAUAAUUUCCCAUCACCUAUCCUUCCUCCCUGUUUCCUCCUUCCUUUCUCCCUCAAUCCUCACUCACCCUUAAGAUUUCUUUUAGGGCUGGAGUCUUCUCUGUGGUGCCACUUUCGUGUUUGGUAGUGCAUCCAAAAGGACAUGAAUAUUCAUGGAUAAUCCAUUCUGCACCCUCCACCCCAGAACCACCACCACCGCCCCCCAACCCCACUCGGCCCUGCAGUUGAAGGCAACACUUGGUAGUGGCACAUGGUGAGACAGCUGUUGCGAUCCAAGCCUGGCAUCUGUGCAGCGGGAGAGCACGAGGAAGCGAGAGACCGAGGGGAGCGCGCGCAUGCAAAAGACACGGUUAGAAUCAGAUAACGAAGGCAGAGAUAAAGAGAGGGAGGAGGCUUUUAUAUACAGUAUGGUAUGGAACGGGCAGUGGUUGGAGGCAUCUGGGUAAAGGAGAGCCAGACAGACAGAAGGAGCAGGGCGGUGACAGGGUCAUCUGGGUGAAAAGGAAGGGGACAAGCCAGACGGAUAGAAACGGGCACUGAUGGGAGGCUCUGUCUGGGGACAGAGCGAGAGAGACAGACAGAUUGAAAGAAGAUGGAGAGAAAACGGGAUAGAAAGUAAGGCAGAAAGGGAAAUCUGAACACAGGAGGCAAAACAUAGAAGGAGGACAAGGAUGACAUGAGGAUGACUCAAAGUAAAAAAAAUGAUUGUAAAAAGACUGAGGUCAUCUAAAUCCCAUAACAGGAAUUCCUGAUAACAAAUAGAGUUUAUGCAUGCCAAAAUGUUAUGAGUUGUGAAGUAUUAGGUUGUUUUAUUACUUUUUUAAAAUGGCUUUUUCCUCCUAAAUCAUGGUGUAAAAAAAAAUCCUGCUUUUGCAGCCCGUUGGUACCAAACUUGGCUUUAUAUUUGUAUUGAACUGGGUGCCAGUUUACCAUCAUUUAUACUGCAGAGCAGUCCACUGGAGUUCAGUAAGAGUCCCUCUCUGACACAAUGAGACCACGGACCGCAGAAGAAGUUUCCCCUUUAACUCGUGUUUUACGUUGUGGAAGUGUGUGUUUUAACCAAAACCACCCCUCCCCUCCCCCCUCCUAAACCUAACCACAUAAUUUAAUGCCUAAACCUAACCAAACCUAACCACGUCCUUUUUUUGGGUCUUUUUUUCAUGGUUUUUGACUCUGCAGGAAGAAUAUAGUCAAACACAAAAGUAAAGAAGGGUAUAAAGAAUCAGACUCUUGCCAUCUCCUUGUCUUUCCUGUUGAGGUAUACGUGACUGUAACAGGGAAAUAACACAAUAUGAAUUCCUACAUAUUUUUGUGGACUUUAUUGAAUUUUCUUGGAAAAAUAUUAGAUCCUGUUACUUGUUUGUAUCUGAAAGACCAAAUUAUAUCAGCGUCCAUGUUUUCUGUAGUGGACAUGACAAGUAACCAAAGACUGUAUAUAAAAGAUGGAACUAGCUAUUGUUGCGUGAGCCACUGAAUAUUUUAGCCAUCCUGCUCUUAGUGUUUUGAACCUUCCCUUUAACUCUUGCAGUUAACCUUUUGUCACAAAUCACGUCUGUCACUCGUCUCCACCCGCUUCACCCUCCCUGUACUCUUCUGUUCCCCUCUCUGGUGUACUGCUUUGGAUGGUCGAAGUCAGGUAUUUAAACUAAGCUGUCAUCUACCUUCACUGUUGUUACUCUUUACAGCUUCACUUUUCCACCUGUCUCCCUCUGUAAGCGCUCAUAAAACAGUUGCUUGUGAAUCACAAGGUAGGCCUGUCUUAAAGCAUAACCUACUUUUUUGUCCAUUUGAAAUCACAACUUAAACAUCAUGCUGCAAAAAAAAGCGAUGGUUCCGGUGACUUAGAUAAUAAAGUAAUCAGGAAUGUGUCUUGUUGAAGUCAUACAGCUGGUGAGCCAUAUGGUCAUUUUCCCAUAGAUUUCUCAGACAUUGCUUUGCAGCUACAGUCGCCCCCUGCUGGACAUUAGAAAUAAUGCAAAUUUGAGGCAUUUUGGCACGAGAUUCACUCUUUGGACCCCAGUCCAUGUUUUAUAUACAUCUUAUUAAAGUAACUAGAAACAAUGGUGCUUCAAAAUUGAUAAUCUUAAUUUUACAGCUUGAUAACGUUGCUUUACCUCAGACUGCAUCUCAAAAAUAAAACCAGUAAUUCAAUCAGGAGCAAAUUUACAAAAGAGGGCAUCUCAUGAAAUAAGAUUCACGCAGUAAAUUUCCUAAAAUAGUAAAUACACCUCCCCCCACCACAAACACACAAACCUGUGUAGUGAACCCAUGCUGUGUGUACCACAAAGCUGAGUUGCUGUAUGUCUACAGACGGAGGAAAUGCUCCUUUGCCAGCCAUGCCCAGCCUGUGCCCCUCUCUUUGCCCCCUGUAGCCCCCUGUAACCCCUCCACCCCUCCUCCCUGCUUUCCACCUCCAGCAUCCCUGCAUGGGGCCCCAUUGCUGGCUGCCAUCCCUCCCUGUCUCCCCACCACCACCAUUACCACCACCCCCACUCCCACCCAGGCAGAGGGCCUAGCUCUGCCCUACAUAGCAGUGAGCGCAGCAGGCUGGCGCUGAGAGGAACCCUCGGGUUUACAAACUGUGUCAGGCCUCGAGACGGCACUGUGAUCAACACCAACCGCCACAUGAGAGGAAAUAAUAAAGCUACUGCUACCAAGAGAUUGGUGUGAUUGAUG